CCUACGGGGGGCAGCAGUGGGGAAUAUUGCGCAAUGGGCGAAAGCCUGACGCAGCGACGCCGCGUGAGGGAUGAAGGUCUUCGGAUCGUAAACCUCUGGCAGCAGGGAAGAACGGUCACUGGGCUAAGCAGCAGUGAAUUGACGGUACCGGCAAAGGAAGCACCGGCUAACUCCGGGCCAGCAGCCGAGGUAAUACGGAGGGGGCGAGCGUUAAUCGGAAUUACGGGGCGGAAAGCGCUCGUAGGCGGUAUGUCAAGUCAAGGGUGAAAUCCCCGCGCUCAACGUGGGAACUGCCUUUGAAACUGGCAACCUGGAGUGUGUGAGAGGAUAGUUGAAUUCCAGGUUU
RNAcentral lists this ribosomal RNA (346 nucleotides) under uncultured bacterium. Its description in RNAcentral is "partial 16S ribosomal RNA". It matches the Rfam family "Bacterial small subunit ribosomal RNA", at positions 338 to 676 of the family's 1533-position model. The record is from RNAcentral.